Lathyrus oleraceus (garden pea) is the source of this 1837-nucleotide long non-coding RNA. RefSeq lists it as uncharacterized. The record is from RefSeq and is a predicted model, not a curated record. The transcript is spliced from 6 exons. Lineage: Eukaryota; Viridiplantae; Streptophyta; Magnoliopsida; Fabales; Fabaceae.
UUUCUGACCUUGCUUCCUUCUUCUCCUCCUUGCUUCAUCUCUUUCUUCUUUUGCUGAAUUGGAACAAUGAGAAGUGAGGAGGUUUUGGCUUAGCUCAAGCGAAAUUGAAGCUUCAAUGGCUUCUUUGAGAGAGAAAUAGAGCUCUGGUGAGGGUGAGGGAAGAGAUUGUAGAGAGUGAUUGCAUUGAAUUACACAGGGUUUCCAAGCCUCUCAUAAUGAGAGAGGUGAAUUAUUUAAAUAGAUUUUAGGUUUGGAACUUGUUAGCUUUUGGAUUUAGGUAUGGAGUUGGUUAAAUGUGGUUAGGAGUUAGUUGGACAUGACUCACUGAGUUAACUGAAAACUCAGUUGGUUAAUGAAUGGGAAACUCAGUUAGUUAUGUUAGUUUGAGUUGGCUAAUGAAUGAGUGGAAUGAAACUUGACUGGCUGCUGCAGGUUAGGAUCAGAUUGAGGUUAUAUUGGAAUGGUUUUUAAUGACCUACUAUUCAUGUUGCAGGUGUAGCAGCCUGUUAAGGGACCUGUUAAAAGUCAUAAGCUAUACACCUGCUAUAUGAAUGUGUAGUCGGUUUUGAAUUGGCGACUUGUGGUCGUGUGGCGGAAUUUCUGGUUUUUGUGGUAUGCACUUGUUGUAGGGAGCCACCAUUGAAGUGAGUUUUAUGGUUGAAAAUGAGCUUCGCUCCGUCAUGUUUUGGAGUCCUGCGGUUCUCUGGUAUUUGAAAACAACAAACCUCCCCACCCUUCAUAAAUUAAGAGAGCAAUUCCUUACCUGAUCUCAAUUAUAUUCACAACUGAAACUAACCACCGAUCCCGACAAUGCAUUGGUUCAGGAAGUCUGUGUAUGCCUGUUUAUCGUUUCGAAAUGUUUGGAAUCUUACACGCGAGUAUGGCGAUGUCUGAACUAGUGCCAGUUGUAGCUGAUCUUGGCAGCGCCGACAUUCAUUUCCAGGAUGACAUAUGUUAUACAGUGUGUUAGCAUAGGAAAUGACAGAUGAUGAAGCAAUUCUAACUGUUGGUGACACUCCGAUAAUGGAACAAAAACACCAAUUCCAAAGGAGUACAGACACCUCGGUGGUUAGGAACGACGAACAUUAAAGGAAGGAUCCUUGCCGUCAGAUUUGCGGUGCUUUGUUUAUGUUGUGGAUCUUAUGCAGGAAGGAUUCUUUGAUUUUCCUGUUUCUUAAUGUCAGUAUUUGGUGUCAUCCAACUCGCAUAUUAGCAACGGCGCAUACUGCUCAUCUGAUAUGGCGCUGACAAGGAUGAACCAGUAGUUUAUGAAAAGGUUUGAUAAUUCAUGCUCUUAUUUACACUUGAAUUGUAUGACGAGCCGGACAUGCGUUUGCAAAUUUUCCUUAUUUAUGAGUGUAACAGCCACCCACGUUGAUCCAAAGUGAAGACCGACACGCCUUGCAUACGGAACCGACAUUGUUGUUCUGCAAACAAAUUAUGGUCGAUUCAAGCUAAAGACACUAAAGGCAUGCAACUUGAUGCUACACUUGACGACCAAUCCACCUUCAAGAAUCAAUUUCUAAGAGUGUCGACAGUACCCAAUUGUGCAACGUGGUUCCUCUAGUAAUCACUGUACUAUUUUGCCAUGGCCCAUCUCAUCACCUAAAAUUCCCAAUGAUCCAACGUUGAUGGUCUCUCAACGUACCUUAUGAAGUAACAUGAUGUUCCUCCUUUUUUGUAACAUGUACAUAUUUGUGGAGAAAAAAUACAUGCGCUGCUUAUUAACAGAUUGGAAAGUGCACUUUUUUUUAUAUAGAAUUGGAUUUUUGUAAUGAUUUUGUAAUGUAAUGCUUGUAGUUUGAAAUGAAAAAUGAAUCGGAAUGCAAAUGUGUAU